Molecule: ribosomal RNA, 429 nt
Filed under: uncultured bacterium
Lineage: Bacteria
Description: bacterial SSU rRNA
Rfam family: Bacterial small subunit ribosomal RNA
Source: RNAcentral
UGGGGAAUUUUGGACAAUGGGGGCAACCCUGAUCCAGCCAUUCCGCGUGAGUGAAGAAGGCCUUCGGGUUGUAAAGCUCUUUCAGCAGGAACGAAACGGUCAUUUUUAAUAAAGAUGGCUAAUGACGGUACCUGAAGAAGAAGCACCGGCUAACUACGUGCCAGCAGCCGCGGUAAUACGUAGGGUGCGAGCGUUAAUCGGAAUUACUGGGCGUAAAGCGUGCGCAGGCGGUUCCAUAAGACAGAUGUGAAAUCCCCGGGCUCAACCUGGGAACUGCGUUUGUGACUGUGGGACUGGAGUGUGGCAGAGGGGGGUGGAAUUCCACGUGUAGCAGUGAAAUGCGUAGAGAUGUGGAGGAACACCGAUGGCGAAGGCAGCCCCCUGGGUCAACACUGACGCUCAUGCACGAAAGCGUGGGGAGCAAACAGG